GACGAACGCUGGCGGCGUGCUUAACACAUGCAAGUCGAACGGAAAGGCCCUGCUUUUGUGGGGUGCUCGAGUGGCGAACGGGUGAGUAACACGUGAGUAACCUGCCCUUGACUUUGGGAUAACUUCAGGAAACUGGGGCUAAUACCGGAUAGGAGCUCCUGCUGCAUGGUGGGGGUUGGAAAGUUUCGGCGGUUUGGGAUGGACUCGCGGCUUAUCAGCUUGUUGGUGGGGUAGUGGCUUACCAAGGCUUUGACGGGUAGCCGGCCUGAGAGGGUGACCGGCCACAGUGGGACUGAGAUAGGGGCCAGACUCCUACGUGAGGCAGCAGUGGGGAAUAUUGCACGAUGGGCGGAAGCCUGAUGCAGCAACGCCGCGUGCGGGAUGACGGCCUUCGGGUUGUAAACCGCUUUCGCCUGUGACGAAGCGUGAGUGACGGUAAUGUGUAAAGAAGCACCGGCUAACUACGUG
Molecule: ribosomal RNA, 468 nt
Filed under: uncultured bacterium
Lineage: Bacteria
Description: partial 16S ribosomal RNA
Rfam family: Bacterial small subunit ribosomal RNA
Source: RNAcentral